Molecule: ribosomal RNA, 103 nt
Filed under: uncultured bacterium
Lineage: Bacteria
Description: partial 16S ribosomal RNA
Rfam family: Bacterial small subunit ribosomal RNA
Source: RNAcentral
UACACACCGCCCGUCACACCACGAAAGUCGGCAAUACCCGAAGCCGGUGGGCUAACCUCGCAAGAGGAGGCAGCCGUCGAAGGUAGGGUCGAUGAUUGGGGUG